This is a long non-coding RNA of Sapajus apella (tufted capuchin), 1799 nucleotides long. RefSeq lists it as uncharacterized. The record is from RefSeq and is a predicted model, not a curated record. NCBI's taxonomy places the organism in Eukaryota, Metazoa, Chordata, Mammalia, Primates, Cebidae. The transcript has 5 exons.
CCAUGUUGACCAGGCUGGUCUCGAACUUCUGAUCUCAGACAAUCCUCCCGCCUUGGCCUCCCAAAGUGCUGGAAUUACAGGCGUGAGCCACCGCACCCUGCCGUGUGCUUCUAGAAUCUUAACUCUUCGGGGUUAACCUCUCCUUCCACGCCAAGGAAACGGGAUCUUCCUGCAACCCUCGAGACAACCACCUAACAGUCACCCAACUUCGCGCUGGGGCCCGGAUGUUCCGUCGAUCGAAUGUAAGAUGCUCGACUUCUAAGUCUUGAGUACAACGCAGGAUAAAUCGAUUGGUCAUCCCUGCCGGUCGCUGCCGAGCGCUGAUUGGCUCGGGCUUGGGAAGCGCAGAAAAGGCCGGCGCGGGGGCGUGCCUGGGGAAGGGACUCCCCCGGCGCUGAGCUGCACGAGGGUGCCAGGCGCUGCCGCUGCGUGGGCGGUGGUGCGUGCGAGGCUCUCUCGAAGAAACCCAAACGCGUCGUGGGGCUGCCGUGUGCCCCAGGGAGCCCUGGAGGCGGAACGGGGGCUAAGAACUCCCAAUCUUCACUCCGUGUUGUCGAGUACGCAUUUGAAAUCGUUCCCCAACCUGGCGGUUCCUCCGAGGCCCUUCCCAGGCGCCCAGACUCUGUUGAGUCAAUUUCUGAAACUCCUCGUUAGUCUUUACCACCCCUUCAGCCUCCGUUUUGAAGCAGCGGUUUUCAGCCACUGCGAGUCCAUCGCAAGCGGCGAUGUGCUGCCGAAAGCAGGGCUGGGUUCGCCACCUCCCCGUGCCACCCCUCUUUAGGGAGACCUUAGGGUAGAGUAAUGAGUCGCCCUUGACUGAGUAGUCCCUGCCCUUGCCAGGGCGAUAUUUCUGGAAAUGCAGACUUGACUAAGCCUUGCCUUGGUGAGAAUUCAGUGGGUCCCUAGCACCUAGUACAGCGGCUCCUAGCCUGAGUACUGCCCUCUUUCGGUGGGGAGGGGUUGAGUUUUUUUUGUAGCAUCCAUUGAUCUGAUCUCCAACAUUCCUCCACGUCAAUUCCCACUCCACCCAAAUCCCUUACCCUCUAUAUAAGCUUUCCAGCCAUAGUGUUGGCUUGGGUGGGGGUGCGUGCAGUGCUGACACCAAAAUGGAGGUCCCUUGUUUCUGAGAGCGUCUCUUUUAGAGCAAUGCAAACCUGAAACCCCUCUUGCCAAGAAGCAAUUUCAGCUCCUCCUGGAUUAAAGCCUUUGAGAAACAAAGCUGAGACUUUCUGGUUCCAGGAGGCCAUCUGGAGGUGUACGUGUGGGUCACCGUGGCUUGACUAUGCAGGCCACUAUAGAACCGAGAAGAGCCUGUGUUCCAGUUUGAAGGUCAUCCUGCAGGGAAUGUUCUCUUACUUGGCUGACUAUUGGGAAGCUCUGCUGGGGGCCCACAGGAAUGUGAAUAAACACACUUGGAAAAUCUGCAGAAGCUCUGGUCCCAGCCUCCUGCUGGUAUUUGGGAUUAAGCCUUAUUUUGCAAUGGGUGUAAUCUCAACAGACACUGAGGGGUGCCUGAAGUCCCUGCAAAACCCUUUCUGGUAUCAGCUACCUAUCACAGGAUGCAGAGGACAAGGUCAGGUAGAGGCUGUGUUCCCGGUGAGAGGAAGGCAGGGGGAGGGAAUAGAAAGAGCACUGGAAAUGGGGUGGGAAGACCAAGGUUCGAAUCCCAGCCCUGCCCCCUCCUUGCAAGGCUACUUAGGUGAGAGUUCCUGCCCUUUCUGAGUUCCUUCCUUCCCUCCCUCCCUUCUCCUCCCCUCCUGUCGCCUCCUCUUCCCUUCUUCCCUUCCUUCCUUGCUUCC